GGGGUGCUCGAGUGGCGAACGGGUGAGUAACACGUGAGUAACCUGCCCUUGACUUUGGGAUAACUUCAGGAAACUGGGGCUAAUACCGGAUAGGAGCUCCUGCUGCAUGGUGGGGGUUGGAAAGUUUCGGCGGUUGGGGAUGGACUCGCGGCUUAUCAGCUUGUUGGUGGGGUAGUGGCUUACCAAGGCUUUGACGGGUAGCCGGCCUGAGAGGGUGACCGGCCACAUUUGGACUGAGAUACGGCCCAG
Molecule: ribosomal RNA, 249 nt
Filed under: uncultured Actinomycetales bacterium
Lineage: Bacteria; Bacillati; Actinomycetota; Actinomycetes; Actinomycetales
Description: partial 16S ribosomal RNA
Rfam family: Bacterial small subunit ribosomal RNA
Source: RNAcentral